GAGAGGAAGGAGGAGAACCAGGAGGAAGGAGGAGCAGAGAGGAGGGAGGAGAACCAGGAGGAAGCAGGAGCAGAGAGGAGGAAGGAGAACCAGGAGGAAGGAGGAGCAGAGAGGAGGGAGGGGCAGCGCUGCUCUUCAUAUGAGCAGAACUGGAGAGCUGGUUCUCGGUGUCAGGCCAUUUCUUCAGGGAGCGGUCUGGUGUAUUCGGGCGUGGUUCUGUGGGUCAGAGGUCAACGCUGCUGCGUUCGCUGCGACAGCUGUGACUAUGAAGAGGAACUGGACGUCUGCAGCCUGGUGAGACGCCGCAAAGCCCGUCGGGCCAAGCGCGCCAGCAGACGGAGGCCGACCGUCAUCAGCAACUCUGACUUGAAGAGGAAGAGGAGGAGGAGGAAGGAGAACCAGGAGGAAGGAGGAGCAGAGAGGAGGGAGGAGAACCAGGAGGAAGCAGGAGCAGAGAGGAGGGAGGAGAACCAGGAGGAAGGAGGAGCAGAG
Acanthopagrus latus (yellowfin seabream) is the source of this 492-nucleotide long non-coding RNA. RefSeq lists it as uncharacterized. The transcript has 3 exons. The record is from RefSeq and is a predicted model, not a curated record. Lineage: Eukaryota; Metazoa; Chordata; Actinopteri; Spariformes; Sparidae.